Molecule: ribosomal RNA, 726 nt
Filed under: Escherichia coli
Lineage: Bacteria; Pseudomonadati; Pseudomonadota; Gammaproteobacteria; Enterobacterales; Enterobacteriaceae
Description: partial 23S ribosomal RNA
Rfam family: Bacterial large subunit ribosomal RNA
Source: RNAcentral
CGGCAAGACGGAAAGACCCCGUGAACCUUUACUAUAGCUUGACACUGAACAUUGAGCCUUGAUGUGUAGGAUAGGUGGGAGGCUUUGAAGUGUGGACGCCAGUCUGCAUGGAGCCGACCUUGAAAUACCACCCUUUAAUGUUUGAUGUUCUAACGUUGACCCGUAAUCCGGGUUGCGGACAGUGUCUGGUGGGUAGUUUGACUGGGGCGGUCUCCUCCUAAAGAGUAACGGAGGAGCACGAAGGUUGGCUAAUCCUGGUCGGACAUCAGGAGGUUAGUGCAAUGGCAUAAGCCAGCUUGACUGCGAGCGUGACGGCGCGAGCAGGUGCGAAAGCAGGUCAUAGUGAUCCGGUGGUUCUGAAUGGAAGGGCCAUCGCUCAACGGAUAAAAGGUACUCCGGGGAUAACAGGCUGAUACCGCCCAAGAGUUCAUAUCGACGGCGGUGUUUGGCACCUCGAUGUCGGCUCAUCACAUCCUGGGGCUGAAGUAGGUCCCAAGGGUAUGGCUGUUCGCCAUUUAAAGUGGUACGCGAGCUGGGUUUAGAACGUCGUGAGACAGUUCGGUCCCUAUCUGCCGUGGGCGCUGGAGAACUGAGGGGGGCUGCUCCUAGUACGAGAGGACCGGAGUGGACGCAUCACUGGUGUUCGGGUUGUCAUGCCAAUGGCACUGCCCGGUAGCUAAAUGCGGAAGAGAUAAGUGCUGAAAGCAUCUAAGCACGAAACUUGCC